This 561-nucleotide long non-coding RNA is filed under the name Heterocephalus glaber (naked mole-rat). RNAcentral's name for it is "lncRNA (ENSHGLG00100041550.1)". Lineage: Eukaryota; Metazoa; Chordata; Mammalia; Rodentia; Bathyergidae. The record is from RNAcentral.
AGGAGAGCUAGUGCUGGAUGAAAUCAGACACCAUGUAUCUCACAGGAGAUCCUACUCCACACAUACAUGUGUACUGCAACAUUUCCCCUUCGUGGAUAUCCUGGAACCCAGGGCUCCCAAGGAGGGUGUAGGGUUGUACAAAGGGACUCCUGACAGGAAGACUUGCUUUCCCUCCAACUUCCUUUGCAUCUUUUUUCCUGCUGAAGUAUGUGGUUUUGCUAGUCCUGGAGUCUUUCCCUUCUCCAUCCUGGGGCAGGCCCCACCCCAGGGAUCAAGACUUGCUUCCAGAAGGCCCGAAUCAUCACAAAUUAUCACUAGGCAAUAACCAAAAGACAGAUUUGCAAUUCUCAGGAGAAGGGUGCUGAGUGAGAGGAGAGGUUGGUGUCCUUGCAAUGACUGGAGGGUAUUGGAGAUUGAACGCAGUACCUGUGCACUAAGCUACAUCCCAAGUCCUUUUUUAAAAUUUUGAGACAUGGACUUGAUAAGUUGUUAAUUUGCCCAGGCCAGGCCUGAACCUACUUAUCCUCUUGCUUCAGCCUCCCGGAGUGUUGGGACUACAGG